RNAcentral lists this small nucleolar RNA (130 nucleotides) under Chaetura pelagica (chimney swift). Its description in RNAcentral is "Small nucleolar RNA SNORA31". It matches the Rfam family "Small nucleolar RNA SNORA31". Rfam says of the family: ACA31 (SNORA31) belongs to the H/ACA class of snoRNAs which are thought to guide the sites of modification of uridines to pseudouridines. The record is from Rfam by way of RNAcentral. Lineage: Eukaryota; Metazoa; Chordata; Aves; Apodiformes; Apodidae.
CAGCAUCCUCUGAUAGACCAUGAGCACUUCCCCUGUUGCUCUCUGGUUUGCACUAAGAUGCAAAACUAAAUUCCUUGCGCUUUCUGCCUGCCUGGCUGUGGCAGCUCAGAUUGAAUGAGGGAAUACACAA